This is a long non-coding RNA of Scylla paramamosain (green mud crab), 129 nucleotides long. RefSeq lists it as uncharacterized. The record is from RefSeq and is a predicted model, not a curated record. The transcript has 2 exons. Lineage: Eukaryota; Metazoa; Arthropoda; Malacostraca; Decapoda; Portunidae.
GGUAGCAAUAGUUGUGGUAGUGAUGAAGGUCUCCGUGGUCACUGUUCUACUCGUCCUCCUGUCUGCUGUCUACGUCCAGACACGGGACUGCUCGAAAGAUGAAGGGGGUUUGUCUUGCGCGAUUAAAGG